UCGUCACACUAUCAUUAACUGAAUCCAUAGGUUAAUGAGGCGAACCGGGGGAACUGAAACAUCUAAGUACCCCGAGGAAAAGAAAUCAACCGAGAUUCCCCCAGUAGCGGCGAGCGAACGGGGAGGAGCCCAGAGCCUGAAUCAGCAUGUGUGUUAGUGGAAGCGUCUGGAAAGGCGCGCGAUACAGGGUGACAGCCCCGUACACAAAAGCGCAUGUGCUGUGAGCUCGAUGAGUAGGGCGGGACACGUGGUAUCCUGUCUGAAUAUGGGGGGACCAUCCUCCAAGGCUAAAUACUCCUGACUGACCGAUAGUGAACCAGUACCGUGAGGGAAAGGCGAAAAGAACCCCGGCGAGGGGAGUGAAAAAGAACCUGAAACCGUGUACGUACAAGCAGUGGGAGCACAGGUUUACCUGUGUGACUGCGUACCUUUUGUAUAAUGGGUCAGCGACUUAUAUUCUGUAGCAAGGUUAACCGAAUAGGGGAGCCGGAGGGAAACCGAGUCUUAACCGGGCGUUAAGUUGCAGGGUAUAGACCCGAAACCCGGUGAUCUAGCCAUGGGCAGGUUGAAGGUUGGGUAACACUAACUGGAGGACCGAACCGACUAAUGUUGAAAAAUUAGCGGAUGACCUGUGGCUGGGGGUGAAAGGCCAAUCAAACCGGGAGAUAGCUGGUUCUCCCCGAAAGCUAUUUAGGUAGCGCCUCGUGAAUUCAUCUCCGGGGGUAGAGCACUGUUUCGGCUAGGGGGCCAUCCCGGCUUACCAACCCGAUGCAAACUGCGAAUACCGGAGAAUGUUAUCACGGGAGACACACGGCGGGUGCUAACGUCCGUCGUGAAGAGGGAAACAACCCAGACCGCCAGCUAAGGUCCCAAAGUCAUGGUUAAGUGGGAAACGAUGUGGGAAGGCCCAGACAGCCAGGAUGUUGGCUUAGAAGCAGCCAUCAUUUAAAGAAAGCGUAAUAGCUCACUGGUCGAGUCGGCCUGCGCGGAAGAUGUAACGGGGCUAAACCAUGCACCGAAGCUGCGGCAGCGA
RNAcentral lists this ribosomal RNA (1033 nucleotides) under Salmonella enterica subsp. enterica serovar Infantis. Its description in RNAcentral is "partial 23S ribosomal RNA". It matches the Rfam family "Bacterial large subunit ribosomal RNA", at positions 140 to 1211 of the family's 2925-position model. RNAcentral also lists the same sequence under 3 other names. The record is from RNAcentral. Lineage: Bacteria; Pseudomonadati; Pseudomonadota; Gammaproteobacteria; Enterobacterales; Enterobacteriaceae.